RNAcentral lists this ribosomal RNA (496 nucleotides) under uncultured bacterium. Its description in RNAcentral is "partial 16S ribosomal RNA". It matches the Rfam family "Bacterial small subunit ribosomal RNA", at positions 29 to 507 of the family's 1533-position model. The record is from RNAcentral.
AUGAACGCUGGCGGCGUGCCUCAUACAUGCAAGUCGAGCGAACAGACGAGGAGCUUGCUCCUCUGACGUUAGCGGCGGACGGGUGAGUAACACGUGGAUAACCUACCUAUAAGACUGGGAUAACUUCGGGAAACCGGAGCUAAUACCGGAUAAUAUAUUGAACCGCAUGGAUCAAUAGUGAAAGACGGUUUUGCUGUCACUUAUAGAUGGAUCCGCGCCGCAUUAGCUAGUUGGUAAGGUAACGGCUUACCAAGGCAACGAUGCGUAGCCGACCUGAGAGGGUGAUCGGCCACACUGGAACUGAGACACGGUCCAGACUCCUACGGGAGGCAGCAGUAGGGAAUCUUCCGCAAUGGGCGAAAGCUUGACGGAGCAACGCCGCGUGAGUGAUGAAGGUCUUCGGAUCGUAAAACUCUGUUAUUAGGGAAGAACAAAUGUGUAAGUAACUAUGCACGUCUUGACGGUACCUAAUCAGAAAGCCACGGCUAACUACGUG